Long non-coding RNA from Mauremys mutica (yellowpond turtle), 144 nucleotides. RefSeq lists it as uncharacterized. NCBI's taxonomy places the organism in Eukaryota, Metazoa, Chordata, Testudines, Geoemydidae. The transcript is spliced from 3 exons. The record is from RefSeq and is a predicted model, not a curated record.
UUUGGAGCAAGCCCAUGCUGAAUCCAAGAUGAUCUUCUUUUCUUCUCUCCCCAGAGUGCGGCCAGCUGCGUAGGACAAUUGAGACUGAGAAGGAUAAGAACACGCGACUGGAAUCAGACCUCAAGGUGCAGCAUCAGAAGAUGG